UGGCUGUGCUGCUUUUUCCGCCAAAGGAAAGACAUCAUUAGUGAGUGUUAUUGGGUGGAAUGGACGUCAAACAUUCUAUUGGAACUCAAAUCUGUCGAUAGGUCGUGCCGUGAACUGUAUUUCAUCAGCCGUGAAAACCGUGCUUUACUCCGACCAUGCAUCAGGCGAACGCACCUGGCUCUUUUUCUCCCUUUCCCCGUUGGUUGCGGACACAGAGGGGGACUGUCUUCGCUCUCUUCUCGCCACUGUCUGAUAGCACAGACAAAACUCUUGUAUCACAAUCACAUCCAACCACGAGCAAGGAAACAACACCAGAGAUGUCCGACCAUAUCGGCCGACCAAAAUUAUCGGCCCGAUAUUAGCAUCAUUUUGUAAUAUCUAAUAAUAUAUAAUUCCAGGACAGAAGGUACUGUAUGUGAUGGGACC
Cynoglossus semilaevis (tongue sole) is the source of this 426-nucleotide long non-coding RNA. RefSeq lists it as uncharacterized. The record is from RefSeq and is a predicted model, not a curated record. The transcript is spliced from 2 exons. NCBI's taxonomy places the organism in Eukaryota, Metazoa, Chordata, Actinopteri, Pleuronectiformes, Cynoglossidae.